GUCACUGAGUUGGGCAGGGAGACCAAAACUAAUUUAAUAUAACUCAUUUUUCACUAGAGUGUCCAAUGUUAUUUUUCAUCUAUGGUAUGAAAUCUGAAAGAGCUAGGGUCCUAUGAAACCAUGAAAGUAUCAACUCCCAUUACCCAGCUGUGUUGUAAUCAUCACCUGGGCACCCAUACCUUGGCCUAAUUUUGCUUCGGAAUAAAUGUCUUUGUGGCAUUACAAAAUGUAACUCUGAGCCCAUUUUCUUUUUCAAUGGAGGCAUUUUAAUUUAUGGUUAUAUACUGAAAGUGACUGUGUAAUAUUUUAUUAAUAUACCAAUAAUGUCUAACAAAUGGUAUGUAAGAAACCAUGUCAAUCUUGUACAUGGCUGUAUCCUCCAUAGUGAUACAGCCUAUGGCACAUACAGUGAGUAUUUUAUAAGUGUUUGUGGAAUAACUUAAUGGAUUAAGUGGUGUUUCUUGCAUGACCACAAUAAAUUUUUUUAUGAGAACAUGGAUUAAAAAUUCCACAAAACUUAUAAGGUAAAAUGUAUAACUUAACAUACUCAGAAAUUAGGACUUUUCGUUUUAAAUACAAAUGAAAAAUGUUAAAUUAUUACAUAUGGUAUAUCUUUUAAUUAUGUUUGGGCAUUUCUUUCCAAAAGAGUUAUAGCAUAUGCCUUAGUUAAAUACCAAGGACAUUUUAAAUGUUAAAAAUAUGAAUUAAAGAAUUAGAAUUACCAUCCAGAUAUAUAAUACACUUUAAUAUAGUGUCAUCAUUUCAGUUUGUAUUCUACUAAUUAAUAGAUUUGCAUUUGAAAUGUUUAAUAAUGAUUCUAUAGAAUGUUUAUUGUGUUUUUGAGAAUUCUCAGAUGUUUAUUUGUAGGCAGAACCACAUGCUGUAUUUUGAUUAGCUUUAGUAUAUUGUUUGACUUCAGUAAAUAUUAUUUCUAAAAGUAUUUGACUUUCUUGCUUUCCCCCAAAGGAUCUGGAAAUGGACAGACUUGCCACAUACACCGAAGGAGUUUAAUUGUUGAACAGCAACCUUAAUGUUGACUUUUAUGUCUGCUUGUAGGCAAAACAACAAUCACCACAUUUCAUAUUUCUGAAAUUCACCAUUCUUCAUCUGCCGUAUGCUAUGUACAAAACUUGACCCCUGUUUUAUUAUAGAAACUCUGUCUCUUGGGUGGCAAUCAGUGAUUUUAUGUAAUUUGCCUUUACUCCAUAUUCUCACUCUGGAAUUUGUCUUCUUGGCCUGAGUUUCUGCUGGAAAUUUGCUAGUAAUGUGCAUUGGUUUUCUGAAGAAUGAAGAAAGAGGAUUCUCCUUUCUGGAGACCACAUCUAUUACUAUUAGUAAUAACAAUCCUUGCUUUUAGUAGUAACAAUCCUUCUGCUGCGUUGCUAACAAACUCUACAUAAAUCAGAGAUUGCAAGGUCAAGAUGUUCAGCAGCCCACAUCUCUUCUCUGAUUAGUUUUCCUCCCUGUACUAAGUCUCUGAUCUGCCUUGCAUUUGUGGGCAAAGCACAGUGAAGAAGCAUCUUGUUCUACCAGUGCUCUGCAGGCUGUCUUAGGAGUGAGAAUGGGGUGCAGUCCCUAAGACCCAGACCCAAGAACUUAAAAAGUGCCCUAAAGUGAAAGCCAAGCAAAACAGUAUGGUAAAAAUAGGAAGAGGAAAAAAAGUGCUAAUUGAAGGACAUGGUGAUACAUGUUCAUUUUUAAAGAGGAAUUUUUAAAUUGUACAAAUAAUGCAAAACAAAUAUUCUUCUAAAACAACCAGGCUGGAUGCAUACUUGGAGAACUGUGCUCUCUCCUUUUUGCCCAUAUCAUUACAGAUGAGGACAUGAUGUCCGAAGAGGUUUGUUUUCAUUAAUUGUUUUCCUGCCCUUUCUGAGAAGAGUCUUAAUUGUAAUUCUGAGUUUUAUACAUUAGGCUGUAGAACAUUUCUUUAGAAAUAAGUAGCAUGAGGGUGAGGGAAAAGCAGAAGUAGGAGAAAAGCAUUAAAUAAAAACAAUAUGCAGAGAGCUAAAAAUUGGAGGUUUUAUAGAAAAUGAUAAGAAAAGUCAUGAAAGUACAUUUACAAAUGAUGAGACAGUGGAAGAGGAAAAGUUAAGAUAUUGUUUUUGUCUCUCUUAAUUUAAGAGACAGUCUUAACCUAAGGCAAACACUUCAGUGCUGAAAAGCACAACCAAUUAUCUUUUUUACUGAAGUGAUUUCCAUCUGAAAGGGAUGGAAAUUAGAAAAUGAAAAGAUGAAAAAAGAGACUACCUUGGGAAUAUUGUGCCAGAAUGCAGGUAUUCAACUCUCUAGUUUAGCAAAUCUGACGGGGAGCCACCAUCUGGUAACUACAAUGAUGGAAAGCAUUCCUCUUUACUAAGAGUAGUAUGUGAACUUUAAAAAAGAGCUUUCAUACUUUAUAAAGACCCGAGUGUAUCCAUUACAUAGUCAUUUUCUUGUUGAGAGACAAAUGGUCUUGAUCUAAAGGGACCCCUUCAGAUAUUUAAAAUAUGUGAUAUUUUGUGAUAGUAUGCAAAGCAUUCAUGAUAAAACAUGCUAAUAGUUUGCAGUUGUACUCUUAAGGGCUAUGAUGUUAUUCUAUAACUAAGAAUACACAUUUAUAAAUAAAACCAAAUAUUACUCAAAACUAAAUAGACACAGAUACACUGCUUUUGUAAUAACUGUGUACAUAUUUAUACACUUGAACUUACCCUCUUCUUUUGGAGCAAUAUUUAGAUAAAAAAAUAAAUAGAAGAAAAUUAUGCCCAUAAAUUUCUCCAAACCCAGCUCAGAACACAUCAGGGCACUCAAGCUUUGAAAUUUUGUUAAAGCUAUUGAAGAUGUGUAAACUGUAAUUGAGUACACUUUCUUGUUUUUGCAGCAGGAAGCAUUUUAUGCCAUUUAAGCUACUCUUACCCAGUUUAAAGCAUUCUAUAAAUAAGCAAUUACAUAGAGGGAACCUGUAUAUUUAUCCUAACAAUGUGCAAGAACUGUGGACUAUCAAAUGCAAAUUUAAUGAGAAGUUGAUGAAGCAUUACAGACAUAUAUGUGUCUAUAGUACCCAUAUACUUAUGGGUCCUGGCUGCUCUUUACAGUGGAACCUUCAAGUUCUCACAAUUGCAAGUCUGAGAACUGCUCUAGACUUACUACCUCAUCAUCUCAAGAAAACUAACCUCAAAAUAUUUAUUUAGAAUGCAUCUUAUUACUGAUAUAAAGUCCAGUCAGUGUUAAAAACCACUGGUAAAUAUACUGUUCUUUGUAAGAAUAAAAAUUUAUAGCUAAAAGGAACUUAACAUUUACUCACUUCAAUCUGUACAUCAAUAGUGAACUCAAAUACAUUUUACUCUGGUUUUUAUUAGUGUAUGUAAUAAAAUGAAUAUGAAUAUAUGAAUAUAUAUAAACAUGAGUUAAAUUUGGUUAUGUAUGUAUAUAUUCAUGUACAUAUACACAUUCAUAUGAGUGCACAUACUUAUAGAUACAUACUCACUCACUAGGAAGCAAAUAUAAAUAUGAUAUUUUAUCGUACUAAUAAUUUUUUGUCUACUAUACAUAACUAACCAAAGAUAAAGGCAAUAUUAUGUGUUAAGUGCUGGUGUAAUGCAAAAGAAGAAAUUAUUAAUUCCUGACAGAACAAGGAUUUUAUUUCUUUGAUCUGGGUUUUAAAGGAGGAAAGGAGUUUCUGACUUGGAAGAGACGGGGCAGAUGAGGGAAUAAAAAUUAAGAGAAUAGAGUGUGCAAAGUAACUUAAGUAAGUACUUCAUUCACCAGAUCGGUGCAAUGAGGAUCAUAUGUGGAAAAGGAAAUUUAUCUAUCGAUAAACUGAUUUGCAUAUUUAUUCUUUCUUUCAUUCACAAAGGCUGAAUGCUGAAGCUGUAUUGGUCCCUGUCAGAAGGGUAUCAAAUCACAAAAAAUUAAGGAGGAACAGCAAGUGAGAAGGGAAAUUGCUACAUUGUUAAAUAUUUUGUUACCUAUUUUUAAAAUCUACAUUAUAUUCUUAAAAUAAUUCUUCUUCUUUGUAAGUUAUAGAAUAUGUUCAAAGUUAUGGGAAGAUUUUUUUUAAGACAAUUUCUAAGGAACAAUAGAAGUAACAAAUUUGUAUUAAAACAAUGCACUUAGAAAAGUUUAUAAUAUCAUUUAUUUUUUCCAUGGAAAUUUGUAGCACUUUUUAAAUUUUUACUCACGUUUUGAUAAUUUUUUUCUUACUGCUUACAUUUAUGCUUAGGUAGUUAUUGUUAUUGAUACUAAAAGAAUACUUAUUUGCUAACCCUAUUGGAUAUUAAAGAACUCAAGUUGAAAUCAUCAAACUGGAAAUGAGUCAUUAGUUCAGUUCUUUUUCAUCUGGGGUAGAUGAGAGUGUAUUUCAUUUUGAAAAAUUUUUUGGAAAUGUAUUGCAUGGUUUAUUUUUGUUUGUUUUGCUUGUUUUAUUUUGGCGUGUCUGUCUUUACUCCAAUCCAUAAUGUAUUAUUCUUAACAUUUCAACCCUGUCUUUGUCACUUGUUUACUAAAAAACCUCAGGUGUUCUCUGAAGCUCAGAGAUGAAAGUCAAAAUAACAUUGAGGGCAUAAUUUCACUACUUGCUCUGGCAGUAACUGCCUUCUUGUUGCUUGUACUCAUGAUCCAGUUUCCCAUUUUUGCGCCUCCUGCUGUCUGUCCCUGACCACUAGCACCCUGUCAUGAGCAUUUAUUCCUCUCUGCUUCACUCUCAAGACUGAACAUGCUUUUUCCUAAAUUUUAACUAUUUAAACUCAUUAAUAUCUUUCCCUGCUCUCAACACAACUUAAUCUUUUUCUUUGCUUCUGCUAUGGACCUUUUCUCUAUGUAUACCUUCAUACUCACAUACUUAUUUAUUUUCUUAUUGGAAUGGAGUGUAUACUUCAGUUGAUGAUGGUAGACUUUAUGUUAGUCAUUAUUCUUUUUAUAUAUCACCUAAAAAGGACUUUUCAGAUGUAAUUGUACCUUGGUAUUUCUUGAUGUAUGAAUUUGAUCCCCCCCACCUCCCCAGUUUAGCAGUUUUCCAACUGUGCUUUGAUUUCUCUUUGCUAGGGAAGAUAGGCUCUUUAAUCUGUUUCUUCUCUGCACUUUUACAUGGUGAACAACAAAUUUUGCUUCCUUUGUAUAUUAUGUUCUAGGACAUCUUUAGUUACUCACUUCAUGGUUAAUACUCUUCAAUAAAAUGUUGUCAUUAAUUACAAAUUACCCAAAUUCCUUGAGCUAAAGUUCUGGUUUCUUUUUAUCCUUUAUUC
RNAcentral lists this long non-coding RNA (5219 nucleotides) under Sus scrofa (pig). RNAcentral's name for it is "lncRNA (ENSSSCG00000052862.1)". Lineage: Eukaryota; Metazoa; Chordata; Mammalia; Artiodactyla; Suidae. The record is from RNAcentral.